Patiria miniata (bat star) is the source of this 222-nucleotide long non-coding RNA. RefSeq lists it as uncharacterized. Lineage: Eukaryota; Metazoa; Echinodermata; Asteroidea; Valvatida; Asterinidae. The record is from RefSeq and is a predicted model, not a curated record. The transcript is spliced from 3 exons.
UUCCCACCGAUGGAAACCAGCCUGUAGUUCACUACACACGGACUGGAACCGACAGGCCCACGGCGUCUGUGAGUCCUGUCUUGAACACAGUCGUGGAACCAUCAGAUGCUGAAAAUAUAUACGUAGAAAAUCAUCCUUGCUUUCCAAGUAGCCAUCGGCUUCCAGCUGCAACAACGCCCUCUAGCAGUGGCAUUCCGGUAACAAGGAAUUUUCGACGUUACC